Molecule: transfer RNA, 39 nt
Filed under: Chrysuronia oenone
Lineage: Eukaryota; Metazoa; Chordata; Aves; Apodiformes; Trochilidae
Description: tRNA-Leu
Source: RNAcentral
ACUUUUAAAGGAUAACAGUCAAUCCAUUGGUCUUAGGAG